Molecule: non-coding RNA, 181 nt
Organism: Clostridium disporicum
Lineage: Bacteria; Bacillati; Bacillota; Clostridia; Eubacteriales; Clostridiaceae
Rfam family: 6S / SsrS RNA
About the family: E. coli 6S RNA was the first non coding RNA to be sequenced, but its function was unknown until recently. It consists of 184 nucleotides that fold into an extended hairpin structure with a large single-stranded internal bulge.
Source: Rfam
UAAAUCCUGAGAUGUGCGCUUAGCUUAUAAUAUUCAACCUACAUUAUAUUUACGGGAUUUGCAAUAGAUUUAUAGAUGUCGGGCUUCAUUUAACAUUAGAAGAUGGCAGAAGUAAAUUGCGCGAAACCCACCUGCGAGUUGCAGGUGUGAGUAUAUAAGUGACCGGCAUGUCGGGACAUGA